UACGGGGGGGGUAAGCGUUGUUCGGAAUUAUUGGGCGUAAAGGGCUCGUAGGCGGCCAACUAAGUCGGACGUGAAAUCCCUCAGCUUAACUGGGGAACUGCGUCCGAUACUGGAUGGCUUGGAUUUGGGAGAGGGAUGCGGAAUUCCAGGUGUAGCGGUGAAAUGCGUAGAUAUCUGGAGGAACACCGGUGGCGAAGGCGGCAUCCUGGACCAAUAUUGACGCUGAGGAGCGAAAGCUAGGGGAGCAAACGGG
This 253-nucleotide ribosomal RNA is filed under the name uncultured bacterium. Its description in RNAcentral is "partial 16S ribosomal RNA". It matches the Rfam family "Bacterial small subunit ribosomal RNA", at positions 524 to 776 of the family's 1533-position model. The record is from RNAcentral.